This 145-nucleotide small RNA is filed under the name Enterobacter kobei. RNAcentral's name for it is "Enterobacterial sRNA STnc430". It matches the Rfam family "Enterobacterial sRNA STnc430", at positions 15 to 152 of the family's 162-position model. The record is from RNAcentral. Lineage: Bacteria; Pseudomonadati; Pseudomonadota; Gammaproteobacteria; Enterobacterales; Enterobacteriaceae.
UAAACUACGUAUUAUCCUAAAAUAACCCUCAGAUAAUAACAGGGCAUUCGGGAUUUUCAGAUUAAACUCAAUAAAGGAAUUUGCGGCAAGACACAGACAACGGGAAUUGUCCGAUAAGAAAAGCCGAUAGUAAUAUCGGCUUUAA